UCUCUGAUGUAGGACUUCCAGCUCCACUGCGGAUUAAGAGCUCCGUUUUUGUAAGAUACCCCUUUCCCUCCCAACCCAAUCCCACCUCCUUUGCUUAGUUUGCUGGUGACAUCAUAAUAACCUUUGAAUCCUGCUACAAAGGACUAAGGCAAGUCCUUUCUUUCUUUCUUUUUUUUUUGUUUAAAUAGCACAUGGUUUUGUAAAGUUUUAUUUUUAAAUGUUAUACCCCAAUGGGUACAAAAUAAAAACUUCACAGAACUGCGCAACAUUGUAAGAAAUGGAACUUACCUGACCUCUAGAGGUCGGCUUCAUCAAAGAACAAAGGAAGGAGAUGCAUCAGCCUACAUUUGGAACACAGAUUUCUGUGGUAGAAAUCUAGACUUCUCCAUCACGACCCUCUUCAUCCCUAAAGAUUAUUAAAGCCUUGGAACUCAAACCUUGGACAUCCCUUCUGCCCCGGGACCCUGACCUCAGAGCAGAGGAUGGAGGGCUCCUUCCAGAACCUCCACUGAAGGAGGGUACCCUGGCCACCAUCUCUUCAUCUCCCACUAGGCCGAACUUCUCUGGACUGCUCCAUCACAGCCCUGCACCAGGUCAGAUUCUGGACUCAACUUAUCCUCAUCCUCCUUAUGCAUACAUUUGCAUAUUUGAGUAAAGAGAAGAGACAAGAGGAGAGAGAAGCCAUAUAAAAGCUUUGCUCAAUUAUUUAUAGGAUAGGUGACAUCCACACUCAGACAAGCAUGAAAAAUUGUGAAGCCCAAAACAAAAAAUGGUUAAACAAUGAAAGCUCCGUGAGGAUAGGAACUUCUUUGUUUUAUCUUCGCAUCCCCAUUACCCAGAGGAUAGGACUCAAAACCGUGCCAUGCGAGGAUCAUCUGAAGGUCUGCUUCCAUCCAUGAGAAAAUGUUCCCAAGUUCCUUGAAAACUCUGCUAUUCCUGACUCAUGCUUCCUAACUGGAACAGAAAACACUGUGUCCUUUGACUGGCUAGCCCCCGGGGAAGCAAUGACCCUGGAGGUAAAACUAGGUAGUCACAAAAAUAUCUGACAAGGGUUGUUCCCUUGGGGGGGGGGGAGAGAGGAAUCAGUGAUUCUGAGAAAUACUUUAUUUCCCCUAGCAAAAUGCAUUAUACCUUGCAGACACCCAAUACUGAAUAAAAUGAAA
This is a long non-coding RNA of Phascolarctos cinereus (koala), 1163 nucleotides long. RefSeq lists it as uncharacterized. NCBI's taxonomy places the organism in Eukaryota, Metazoa, Chordata, Mammalia, Diprotodontia, Phascolarctidae. The record is from RefSeq and is a predicted model, not a curated record.